GGUUUCGUGGUGUAGUUGGUAUCACACCAGUCUAACACACUGGUGGUCUCCUGUUCGAACCCGGGCGAAAUCA
Molecule: transfer RNA, 73 nt
Filed under: Tuber melanosporum (Perigord truffle)
Lineage: Eukaryota; Fungi; Ascomycota; Pezizomycetes; Pezizales; Tuberaceae
Also listed under: 1 other name
Description: tRNA-Val (AAC) (tRNA-Val-AAC-3-1)
Rfam family: tRNA
About the family: Transfer RNA (tRNA) molecules are approximately 80 nucleotides in length. Their secondary structure includes four short double-helical elements and three loops (D, anti-codon, and T loops).
Source: RNAcentral